This 484-nucleotide ribosomal RNA is filed under the name uncultured bacterium. RNAcentral describes it as "partial 16S ribosomal RNA". It matches the Rfam family "Bacterial small subunit ribosomal RNA", at positions 30 to 507 of the family's 1533-position model. The record is from RNAcentral.
AUUGAACGCUGGCGGCAGGCCUAACACAUGCAAGUCGAGCGGAUGAAGGGAGCUUGCUCCUGGAUUCAGCGGCGGACGGGUGAGUAAUGCCUAGGAAUCUGCCUGGUAGUGGGGGAUAACGUCCGGAAACGGGCGCUAAUACCGCAUACGUCCUGAGGGAGAAAGUGGGGGAUCUUCGGACCUCACGCUAUCAGAUGAGCCUAGGUCGGAUUAGCUAGUUGGUGGGGUAAAGGCCUACCAAGGCGACGAUCCGUAACUGGUCUGAGAGGAUGAUCAGUCACACUGGAACUGAGACACGGUCCAGACUCCUACGGGAGGCAGCAGUGGGGAAUAUUGGACAAUGGGCGAAAGCCUGAUCCAGCCAUGCCGCGUGUGUGAAGAAGGUCUUCGGGGUGGGGGGGGGGGGGAGUUGGGAGGAAGGGCAGUAAGUUAAUACCUUGCUGUUUUGACGUUACCAACAGAAUAAGCACCGGCUAACUUCGUG